GACUAUCAACCUCUGGUGUCGGCUCUCGACGCCCGCGUCACUCCUGCAACCCUCGACGAGCUCUUCGCCAUGCUAUCAAACUUUGAUCAGCGCAUGGCCCAGUUCAAUGGAUCCGGUGGCUUCAAGUCUUCUGCUAACAUGGCGUCACGUGGCCGGGGCGGUGGAUCCCGC
Molecule: ribosomal RNA, 171 nt
Filed under: Triticum aestivum (bread wheat)
Lineage: Eukaryota; Viridiplantae; Streptophyta; Magnoliopsida; Poales; Poaceae
Description: partial small subunit ribosomal RNA
Source: RNAcentral